Molecule: non-coding RNA, 3028 nt
Organism: Lolium perenne
Lineage: Eukaryota; Viridiplantae; Streptophyta; Magnoliopsida; Poales; Poaceae
Source: RefSeq, a predicted model, not a curated record
UCGGCGGGAUGGUACUGCAGGUCUGCAACAUCGGCGUCCGUGUACUGGUGCUGGUGAUGCUGCGAUGUCGCUCUGGUGGUGUUGUGGUUGAGGUGAUGCUGCUGCUGGUGGCAUGGUGAUGGUGCUCUGCUGCUGCUACUACCCCCUCGACCUUGACGCCGGCGGGACGGUGCCGCGGACGCAACCCCGGCGUCAACUUCUACUUCUAGUGCUGCAAUUGCAAUGUGAGCUAUAUCCCACUCCUCUCUUACUCUGUCUAUGGCCUUGUGUUAAUCCAGAUGGUGCCAGUGGUUCGGUUAUAAUCUUGCUGAUAUGUUGGUUAUGACAUUUCUGGUAUAUAUGAUAUAUCCCCUGAUAAGACAUGGAGUGUGGUUGGCCUAUGCAUAUGUGGUUUCAGAUUGUGCUAAUGAACUUGGGUUGGUCUGUUACUAGUAUUUAUAUCUCUGUUUGGAUGAAUAGAUCAUCCCCGACAUGUGUGUCUUGUUGUAAUAUCACUAUUACCAAAACUGAAUGCUUUUAUUCAGUAUUUCAGUGAACUUUGGGUAUUCAGUUAUUAUUCCGCUUAAUUCGUAUUGGGUUUACAUAUACAAGAAGCAAGUAUUGUUGCUUGCAUAUGCAUGAUUUAUUUGAUGGCUUGGCGGUGAGCUUACAUGCAGUGCUUAGUGUGGUUUUGCUGCUACUAUAGUACUACUUGGUUUGUAGCUGUCCUGGUUUAUCAAUUUGAUGAAUUGAACCUACUGAUCGUGCAGUGCUAAAGCUACUGAUCUCACUAAAAAUGUUCACGGAACUUUUAGGUCUAAGUUGGACAGUUAACUUGCUAUUAGCAUGCUGGGUGGGUUAUUUGCAUGCUCCACAUGCUUAAAUUAUACUUAUGUUCCUCGGAUUGGUAAUAUUAUGAUUCAUUUGGCUUUGCUACUUUAUCCAAUGAUCUAAGGAUCCCCUGUUCAUUUGCAAGUGUGGAAUAUCAACUAUUUAUAUGUAGUUGUGCAAAGUGUGUGUGUUUCCAGAUUCAUGGACCUAAUUACUUGGAUGGCUUUUACUCAGGGAUCUUGCUGCCCUCGCAGCAGGUCUCUCUCUUACUGACUAUUAAUUGAUAAGAACAGAUAUAUUCUUGAUUUCUUGGCCCCUUCCUGAGAUGCAAAGGCUGAUGAUUUUGUAGCUUAGUGUUGAUGUCUUUUCUUUCUUUACAUACGUGCCCAUGUACUAUCUCACUGGCAUGAUUAUCCUAUAGUGCCGCAGUUGAGUGAGCAUAAGGUGAUGACAUGUUGGUGUAAGAUAUAGUGCUAUAGGUGCUUAUGUAGAGUAGAGAAAUAGGCAUUGAUCUGGGCUAUAUGACCAGAUGAUGCAAAUGUCCAUCCCAAGCUUCUAAUGAUGCUUGAGUUGAUUUUUAAUGGAUAUACCUAUGCUUGCUUUAGCCGAUGAUGCAAAGGCUGAGGCUCAGAUUUGUAAUAAGAACAGAUACUAUGACAUAGCUCUUAUUUCUCUGUGAUGAUCAGGCAUAGCAUCUCUAUGCAGACUGAGAGAAUCACCUCUCACAAUUUAACUGAUGAUUUAUAGUUUGAGGUUUGCCUAUUUUAUUACUUGCAAAAUCUUUCCAUGUGCCAUAUGCUUUGGCUUAAUCCGCUCUGUGGUACCUCCUGGGAGUGUGCACAGAAGAAAUAUCCAUUUAGCAAGAUUGGUGCUGUUGGUAGAUUAUGUAGAGUGAUGUAUUAGGCGAAGAUCAUAACCAUGAUCAGAUGAUGUUAAAAUUUCCCAAACAACCCCAUAUGGACGCUUGUAAGAAUUUACAAGUGCAAAUAUGACCUGGGAUAGAUCCUGGUGAUCUAUACCGCUGAUGAAUUCAUAUGUUGUAGUUGGAUUUGGCUGUAUAGCAACCUGCUGCUAUAGAGAGGCUUGGUCUUCUGGAUUCUGAGCUUUCCUGCGUCUUGUGGCAUGCCUGCACCUCCUCGCUGCUUCUGCUUCCUCCUAAAAUCUAGCUGUUGAUUUUAGUGGUUUAUCUAGUGUGUUGUUCUAGUAGAUCAUGAGGUGUUCUUGCUGGUAUGUGAUAGAAAUGACUACUCCCAUGAGCUGCUACUGCGGCUGGCUGUGUUGGUGUGUUGGAAGAUUUGAUACUGUUGCUUAUAUACUGCUGGGCAGUACAUGUGGGCUUGACAGCACAUGGCUGCAUGUGGUGACUGUGCUGCUUGGUAGGUAACUUACUCUCCAUGUGCAAGUGAACAAGUUGUAUUUCUUCUCCUCCUUGUGCAAGCUACGGUUGGUGCUUGUAGAUAUCCAGUGUUGGCCUUUCUUUUGUGGCUGCCAAGUAGAUUAACACUGCUACCUAAUAUUGUUUAGUUGAACUUUAAAUUUAUGGCUUUCUUGUUAAUUACUUGCUGGCUGGAAUGACUAAUUAAGCUGGUGCUUAAUUAGGAAAGUGUUGGUUUAAAUAAGGUUAAUGAUGCUUUAGGGUCCUGUUGGUAAUCAAUACCAGCAGAGAACCAUUUUAAUUCUAAUGUAGCCUUUCUAAUUAGGAACUUGACUAAGUUGGAGGGAUUUAUUAGUUGCCUUUGUUGCCUGCAAUAUAAAUAUAUCAGUGUUGCCUAUUGUCCCUUCUCUAAAGCAAAAUGGAUCACUCAAUGUUGCUUUGUCCCUAUUGCCUACUUGUCCAAGAUGAUCCAAGAUAAUCCAUAAUCCUUUGUUGCCUUGAAUUGAUAUUAAUCCCUCUGGCCAUAGUUUGGAUAUUAGGACAAGUUCCUAAUAUCCAUGAGUUGAGUUCCAAAACUAAGAUGCCUUAUCUAAGAUGAUGGCAAACAUUUUAAUAAUAACACAAUUCUUUUCUUGGCUUUGUUGUUUUUCUUAUUGCAGGAAAAGAAGACGUUGGAGAAUUGUAGAAGAGCAAGAUUAGUUUAGGUUUUCUUUUUAUUAUCUUAUUUUGUAAUCUUUUAUUUGUUUUUGUAACUUGAAAUAAUAAUUCUGUAAAGGUUGUACAGUUCCAAUAGAUGGAUGCUAUGUUUAAUGUUUAGUUCUUGAUUGCACAUUCUUAUUAUAA